GACGAACGCUGGCGGCGUGCUUAACACAUGCCAGUCGAACGGAAAGGCCCUGCUUUUGUGGGGUGCUCGAGUGGCGAACGGGUGAGUAACACGUGAGUAACCUGCCCUUGACUUUGGGAUAACUUCAGGAAACUGGGGCUAAUACCGGAUAGGAGCUCCUGCUGCAUGGUGGGGGUUGGAAAGUUUCGGCGGUUGGGGCUGGACUCGCGGCUUAUCAGCUUGUUGGUGGGGUAGUGGCUUACCAAGGCUUUGACGGGUAGCCGGCCUGAGAGGGUGACCGGCCACAGUGGGACUGAGAUACGGCCCAGACUCCUACGGGAGGCAGCAGUGGGGAAUAUUGCACAAUGGGCGGAAGCCUGAUGCAGCAACGCCGCGUGCGGGAUGACGGCCUUCGGGUUGUAAACCGCUUUCGCCUGUGACGAAGCGUGAGUGACGGUAAUGGGUAAAGAAGCACCGGCUAACUACGUG
Molecule: ribosomal RNA, 468 nt
Filed under: uncultured bacterium
Lineage: Bacteria
Description: partial 16S ribosomal RNA
Rfam family: Bacterial small subunit ribosomal RNA
Source: RNAcentral